CCUACGGGUGGCUGCAGUGGGGAAUAUUGGACAAUGGGGGCAACCCUGAUCCAGCCAUGCCGCGUGUGUGAAGAAGGCCCUCGGGUUGUAAAGCACUUUCAGUGAGGAAGAACGCCUGGUGGUUAAUACCCAUCAGGAAAGACAUCACUCACAGAAGAAGCACCGGCUAACUCCGUGCCAGCAGCCGCGGUAAUACGGAGGGUGCGAGCGUUAAUCGGAAUUACUGGGCGUAAAGCGCGCGUAGGUGGCUUGAUAAGCCGGUUGUGAAAGCCCCGGGCUCAACCUGGGAACGGCAUCCGGAACUGUCAAGCUAGAGUGCAGGAGAGGAAGGUAGAAUUCCCGGUGUAGCGGUGAAAUGCGUAGAGAUCGGGAGGAAUACCAGUGGCGAAGGCGGCCUUCUGGACUGACACUGACACUGAGGUGCGAACGCGUGGGUAGCAAACAGGAUUAGAUACCCUGGUAGUC
Molecule: ribosomal RNA, 465 nt
Filed under: Vreelandella stevensii
Lineage: Bacteria; Pseudomonadati; Pseudomonadota; Gammaproteobacteria; Oceanospirillales; Halomonadaceae
Description: partial 16S ribosomal RNA
Rfam family: Bacterial small subunit ribosomal RNA
Source: RNAcentral